GAUGAGAAGCUCUGGGGCUUCUGGGAUUGACCCAAACAUAGCUUUUGGAGGAAGACUCGGAAUUUCCAUCGGGGUUUUCAGUUUUUGGGGUUUCUUGUAAAGAAACAUGGUUUAUUUGGAGAGAAAUUCUGGAGUGAAGAGUAGGGAAGGUGUGAGUAUCAGAGGUGGUUGGCCUGAGCCUUCUAGAGGAGGAGAGAGAGUGAGAGAGAAAGAGAGAGGAGGGUGUGGAGGAUACAUGAUAAGCCAUUGUUUCCCUCUUUGUUUUGCGUCUGUGACUAUCAGGACUGAAGAGAGAGAUGAGGUUUAAUGGUCUAUGCUGUGGUGAGGGUACAUGGUUCGUUAUGGUGUUUCCUGGUUCUCCACCGUAGGAUAUGUGGGAUCGGCGUAUGAUUGUAGUUUAUCUUUAGUUUUUUUUUUUUUUAAAUGGUGGGCCUCGCAGCCCGCAAUGGAUCCGCCACACAUUGACCACCUAGCCCUGUAUGGUCUCCGCUUGGCCCAAAGAAAUAAUUUUUUUCUUUUGUAUUCUAUUUCUUUCUUUUUUAAAUGAUGGCCCCGUAUUUUGCAGACCGCCUAACCCCACAUGGUCUCCACCAAACACAUAUAAAUUAUUUUUUUUAAUAUUUUUUUUCCUCUUAAUAUCUGGGAUGAAACCUUUGCCGGCCUUGUUAUUGUUGUUUUGCAGCCGACUUCUCCGUCUCCGCCGUGUAAUUGGACAGCGGCUAUGGUCAUAUGUCUAAACUUAACAUGUAUGUGCUGAAUUGAAGUUUCUGAGUCAGAAGGUUGUUAAGAGUCAUCGAGGCAGGUAUUACUGCCGUAUAUAUAUAUUAGUUGAUUUGUUUAGUUUCCGAGUUGAUUGUUAAGGAUUGGCCCAGAUUUCACUGAAACUCUUAGGAAUGACUAGAAUCUAGUUAAACAUGCAGUUGCCCACUUGCCCUCAUCGACCUUGUGAGAAUGUGAGUGAAAGCAGCUUCCAGUGUUCCAUUUGAGCCAUAAGUUGGGCCAUUCUGCAACGGUCACCUUCGAUCACCAAUCAUAUCCACCAUUGAUCACCAAUCAUACUUUAUUAUUUACUUUUGUUCUAUAUAUAAAAAACAACACCAACUUUAACGUACGUUGUAAAAAUGGAGAUCGAUCGAGCUGGAAGCAGCUUUCCCACAAAGUACAGUAGCAGGUCAAGGCAGGUAUACAGACAUGAUCGAUUUUACAUGAUGGCGCACGCUUGGGGAUUUUCUUCACCGAAACAAUCGGGGCGUGUCAUGCAGUAACUACUAGUGGCAUAGCUCCUCCCACCGCCGUAACUAUCAUACACUGGCCCACCGUAACCAUACCCAGUUUGGCAGGGACCACCCGGAUGCCCUCCGUAACAAUCCAUACAACACUCGCUCACCGUCACCGGAGGGUAAGCCGGAACCAGAAACAGAACCGGCUCUUCCUUCGGCUUCUCUGCCUUCUUGGGUUCGUCUUUAGGCCUUUCAGCCUCCUUCGGUGUCCCUUUAGGCUUGUCAGCAUCUAUUGGUUUCUUUUUAGGCUCCUCUUUCUUCUUCUCCUCUGGUUUCGCUUUAGGCUUCUCCUCCUUUGGUUUCUCUUUGGGCUUCUCGGGCUCUUUGAUGUCGAUGCUCUUGAUGGCGCCACCUCCUUUGCAGCAUAGCUUGUCUCUGAUCUUCUCAGGACUGCAGCAGACCACCUUGAUGAUCACCUGGUUGUUCUUCUCGUCGUACGUCUGGUCUCGUAUUUCUCUUGUUCACAAAAUCCAACCAAUACCAGAAACCACACUCAAUUUACGUUUUUUUGUUUUCUCUGCUAAAAUACACAACGUACCAGAAUGGAAGAGAAAAGAAGAAACUCACGAGGGAAUUUACAGAGAACUUUCUUAACCUUCUUGUAGCAUUUUUCACACUGAAGGUCCACCUUCAGAACCAUUAUCGUCACCUGAUGACAUUAAUACAAUCAUUUUUGCAGAAAUUAGAUAGGUAUAGAGAAUGGUUAAUUACUUCUUCUUCUUUUUUAUGUAGAAGAAGAAGUGAGUAAUUAAGAAUGGAUCGAAGAUGAUUUGAAGAUCGAUGAGGAAUCGAAUCGAUCUCUGUGUUUCUGACAGAAGAAUGAUGAGUCGGGUAUAGGCGACAAAUUGAAGAAGAAAGAGCCAAAAGCUUGAGAAUUAAAAAGUGAGGAGCAGCAGCCACAAAAAAUAAAAAUUGAGAGGAGCAGAUUUGAUGCAAUGGGCAAUCAAUCUACUUAUCUAUAUGAUGAGGAAAAAGAGCUGGAAAAGCAUAAACAACUUUCUAGUAGCUAAUGUUAAGAAAGAAAUACCUUUUUUUCCCCCAUUGUUGCAGCAGUGAGAUGGGAUCUGAUGUUCUUUGUGAACGGAACCUCCCAGCUAAAAUGAUUGAAUAGGACGGGAGUCAGUGACCCGAGUUGGCAUAUAAAUUGAGCAGCUGGCGGNNNNNNNNNNNNNNNNNNNNNNNNNNNNNNNNNNNNNNNNNNNNNNNNNNNNNNNNNNNNNNNNNNNNNNNNNNNNNNNNNNNNNNNNNNNNNNNNNNNNNNNNNNNNNNNNNNNNNNNNNNNNNNNNNNNNNNNNNNNCUCUCUCUCUCUCUCUCUCUCUCUCUCUCUCUGAUCUGAAACUUUUCCUCUCUCUCUUUCACCGAUGCCACCCUCCUUCGCCGAUGCCAUCCCACCCGCCGCUUCAUCUCCGGCUCCGACGAGGUCCGGGAGCUGCCGGAAAACGACUGCAAGAUCUGAACGAUCGCAUCCACCAAGACCCGAGGGGCCGGGCUCGUCAUUCUCAUCGACGACAUCCACUUCGGUCAAGUCCAGUGAGCCCGUCGUUGUCGCCGCCGUCGGUCAACAUCUGCACCGUUUCACAUUGGCGCUGCCUCGAGGAUCCGCGACCGAGAUGUUACCAUCGAGAUAGGACGACUCCGGAGAAGCGUUGCGCUACUACGAGUCCGAAGAGCAGCGUUCUGGUCGUUCUCCAACGUCGUCUGCACACCGUCGCUUGGAAACGUCGAUGCGAGCUGAGCUUGACGAGGCCGACGAAGAUGGAGUCGGGAGGGAAGGUGGAGGCGGCGCCAGGGAGAGGAGGCUUGGUGUUGGUGGAUUUGGAGCGGAGGAGCUCGGUGAGGACGGUCAGGAUGCGCUUGGAGUCCACGUGGACGGUGAAGAGGUUGGGGACGUUGGCGGGGUAGGCGCGGAUGACCUCCGGCUGAUCAAUCUCCUCGAUUGAAAUCCCUCAAAACUUAGGCAGGUGCAUGGCUUUGACUAGUUUUUCUCUCUAUUUUUAUGAGAUGAGAAUUUGAGAAAAGAGGAAGGGUGAAUAGGAAAAGGGACGGUGGAAUAUUGAACGUUGACGAUGUUUAUUAGUCCAGUUGUUUUGUUUUCUGAGUCCUUUCGAACUUAAAAAUGUAUGUUUAAAAUGAUUAUUGACUGACAGUAACUGAUUAUUGGGGGUCAGUAACUGAUUAUGUUCUAAUAUUUCUUUUUUCUAGUAUUAUUAAGCUGAAAUAAGUUGAUUAUUGGGGGUCAGUAAUUGAUUAUUAGAGGUUAGUAACACGAUUAUUAGGGGUCAGUAACUGGUUAUUGGGGUCAGUAACUGGUUACUGGGUGUCAGUAACUAACUGGUUACUGGGUGUCAGUAACUGGUUAUUAGGUGUCAGUAACUGGUUACUAGGUGUCAGUAACUGGUCAGUUAGUGGUUACUGGGUGUCAGUAACUAGUUAUUGGGGGUUAGUAACUGAUUAUUAUGAGUCAUUAACUUGUCAGUAACUGGUUAUUGGGAGUCAGUAACUAGUUACAGGGGAAAUUCCGGAGUCCGGCGAUCGAGGAAAUUCUGGUGACCGGAGUCCGGCGGUCGGGGAAAUUCCAGUGACCGGAGUCCGGCGGCCGGUGACCAGAGUCCGGUGAGAUUCCGGCCAAGUAUUCUCUCUUUUAUUUUCUCUCUCUAUGCAUAUGUAAGAGGUGAGGGCAAAAUAGUCUUAAAAUAAUAUGGUUAAUUUGUUAAGACUUUAGUAAAUAUUUGUGUAUUUUGGCAUAAAGAUUUGUGCAUUUGGACAUAAAAAAAUGCAUCUUAUAUUGAAAUGGGCUAAUGAAAAAGAUUUUCAUUGGAAUAAAAAUAAAAAUUUAAAUUAGUACUAAAUUGACAUUCUAAUGCAAUAGAAUGGUCUGAAUGUGGAGGAUGGACCAAAUUAAUACCGCAGUAAUAUGAUUAGGGUGUCAUUCACCCGGCCACAUCUUGUUGUUUUCGAUUCAAGUAUCAAGCACCCACAUGGCACAUGGAGCAUCCCACAACUGUCCCCGGCGCUAGUAGUUGCCACCGUCCAUCUUCGGACUAGCAAAUUGUUAUGGAUCAUUCUCCUUACCAUGAUCCACGACGUAUUACCAAGAAUACAUGAUAAGCCAUUGUUUCCCCCUUUCUUUUGCGUCUGUGACUAUCAGGACCGGGAGAGAUGAGGUUUAUUGGUCUAUGGUGUGGUGAGGGUACGGUACAUGGUUCGUUAUGGUGUUUCCUGCCUAUCCACCGUUGCAUAUGUGCGAUCGGCGUAUGAAUUUAGGUUAUAUAUAUAUAUAUUUUUUUUUUUCAUUUUAAAUGGUGGGCCUCGCAGCCAACAAAUGCCCGUCACACAUUAACCGUUAGCCCUGUAUGGUCUCCGCCUGGCCCAUAUAAAUAAUUUGUUUUUUAUAUUCUUUUUCUUUCUUUUUUAAAUGGUGGACCCCGCAUUUUGCGUGUAGCGAACCGCCUAGCCCCAAAUGAUCUCCGCCUAAUCCAUAUAAAUUAUUUUUCGUUUAUAUUUUUUUUCCUCUUAAAAUCUGGGAAGAAACCUUUAGCGGCCUUACUGUUGUUGUUGCACAGCCGACUUCUCCGUCUCCGCCACGUAAUUGGACUACGGCCAUGGUCAUAUGUCUAAACUUAACAUGUAUGUGUUGAAUUGAAGUUUCUGAGUCAGAAGGCUGUUAGAGUCAUCGAUUGCAGGUAUAUAUGGUAUAUUAUUGCCGUAUAUAUAUUGGUUGAUUGUUUAGUUUCCGAGUUGUUGUUAAGGAUCGGGUUAAAAAGAUUGAGCAUUAUAUUAUAGCUAUUUAUAGCUAUAAACAGCACAUUGCAUAUCCAUUGAUGAAUUUAUGUUAGUGAUGCAUGUUGGAAUGAAAACUGAUCGGUGUUGGCUAGUUUGGAAUGAAAACUGAUUUGGUGUUAGCAAGUUUCAAUUGAAUAAAGUUUGAAUUGCAUUUUGUAUAUUCUAGAUUAAGUUAUUAAUUGUCGCUUCUGCAUGUUGGUUUUAUUCUUGUUUUAGGACAUUUUAAUCAGGUUUCAUUUUUUGUAUAUGUUACUAUUGAAUUUGUUGUGCUAGGUUUCUUGGUUCUACUUGCUGAUGAUGAAGUUUAGGUCCUGGCAAAGUUGAUAAUUUUGUAAGCUUGUAGGUGUUUUGCCUUGUGUCAUGGUCCAUUACGAAGGGUGAUGAUCCUGCAAAUGCAGCCUUCUCGGAAGUAAGUUAAUCUCAUGAAAUUAUCUCAUCUUUUUAAUCCUUGUCAGAGCUCUAUACAUUUUUUGGUUUAAGCAUACCAGCUUGUGUUUCAAGUCAAAUUUAUUGUUUGAGAUUCAUAUCUUUUGUUUAGUCUCUGUUGUUUUACUUUUAUUCGUCUCUUUGUCCAAUUGUUAUAAGAUCCGAAAACGUUAUAUAAGAUACUAGAUUGAGAAUGUUCCAAGUUCUAAAACACCACAUAAUGUUUCGUUUCGUGCAAAGGGACCUGAGACUGGAAGUCAAGUACCAUAUGGCCUUGCAGGGGAGAGUAGUCUGGUUAAACGUGAUUGACCCAGAUUUCACUGAAAUUCUUAGGAAUGACUAGAAUCUAGUUAAACAUGCAGUUGCCCCGUUGCCCUCAUGGACCUUGUGAGAAUGUGAGUGAAAGCAGCUUCCAGUGUUCCAUUUGAGCCAUAAGUUGGGCCUUUCUGCAACGGUCACCUUGGAGGACCAUUAAGGAACCAAACAAGUGGAUCGGCCCAUUUAUGAUCUUAGCCCUAGUCUAAGCAAGAACAAUAAGAGAGAGACUUGCAUGUCAAACUAUUCACUUCUUUCAUACAUGUAUGCAUAGGAAGUAAGUAAUGGCAAACAGAUGGUAUUAUGUAGGUGAUUGUAAAUCGAACAUAAACAUAUGGUUCCAUUCAAACCGAAGGAAUAUAAUGUACAACUUUUAGUGGGCUAAUUAACACGCAUAUCAAAGUUGCUUCUCUAGCUAGUAAAAGAACUAAGAACAACGUACCCUUAUUAUACUACUCAACAGUCGUUCAUAAAUUAAACAAACUCCAGAUUUUGAGUAAUAGAAAAUGGAGUUGCAUUGGACUUGUCCUACUUCUUUGUCGGCAAUAGACGGUGUGUAUGAGUGCAAUCGCAGCAGCAUCGAAUAUUUUAACUAGUUUGUAGGCUUGGGGAUCGUUCUUUCAUGUGAAUCAAUCACACAUAUAGUUGACCUAAUUUCAUACUCGCCCACUUUUUAUACUUAGAUGCAUCCAUCGCAUGGAGAUCGAGUUGGAGACCUAGCUAGCUAGCUCAUCUUAAUUAUUGGUACCAAAUUCUUCCAACAAAUGGACAAAUAAUUCAAAAAAAUAUAUGCAUAUGUGCACAGGACAAAAUUCAUAUGCAAUUUGAUGGAACUUUUAUUUCAUUAAUGGAAUAAAGAUUGUAACAACUUCUUCUUCUUCUUCUUCUUGUAGCUAGCUCUAUAAUGGAUGGCUGGCAUGGCUAACCUGAUCGUGACAUAUCCACCACCAUCACCAUUGAUCACCAACCAUGCUUUAUUAUUUUACUUUUGUUCUAUAUAUAAAAAACAACACCAACUUUAACGUACACUGUAAAAAUGGAGACACCGAUCGAUCGAGCUGGAAGCAGUUUUCCCACAAAGUAUAGUAGAAGGUCAAGGCAGGUAUACAGAUAUGAUCGAUUUUACAUGAUGGCGCACGCUUGGGGAUUUUCUUCACUGAAACAAUCAGGGCGUGUCACGCAGUAACUACUAGUGGCGUAGCUCCUCCCACCGCCGUAACUAUCGUACACUGGCCUUCCAUAGUAGCCGUCGUACUGUAUGUAUGGUGCUGCCCCACCGUAACCGUACCCAGUUUGGCAGGGACCACCCGGAUGCCCUCCGUAACAUUCCAUACAACACGCGUUCACCGUCACCGGAGGGUAAGCAGUAACCGGAGGCUGAGUAGGCUGAGAAGGCUUCGGCUUCUCUGCGUCCUUGGGUUUCUCUUUAGGUUUUUCAGCCUCUUUAGGUUUCUCAGCCUCCUUUGGUUUCUCAGCCUCUUUUGGUUUCUCUUUAGGCUUUUCAGCCUCUUUAGGUUUCUCAGCCUCCUUUGGUUUCUCUUUAGGCUUCUCAGCCUCCUUUGGUUUCUCUUUAGGCUUCUCAGGCUCCUUGGGCUUGGGCUUCUCGGGCGGCAAGAUGUCGAUGCUCUUGAUGGCGCCACCUCCUUUGCAGCAUAGCUUGUCUCUGAUCUUCUCAGGACUGCAGCAGACCACCUUGAUGAUCACCUGGUUGUUCUUCUCGUCGUACGCCUGGUCUCGUAUUUCUCUUGUUCACAAAAUCCAACCAAUACCAGAAACCACACUCAAUUUACGUUUUUUUGUUUUCUCUGCUAAAAUACACAACGUACCAGAAUGGAAGAGAAAAGAAGAGACUCACGAGGGAAUUUACACAGAACUUUCUUAACCUUCUUGUAGCAUUUUUCACACUGAAGGUCCACCUUCAGAACCAUUAUCGUCACCUGAUGACAUUAAUACAAUCAUUUUUGCAGAAAUUAGAUAGGUAUAGAAUGGUUAAUUACUUCUUCUUCUUCUUCUUCUUUUUUUCUGCAGAAGAAGAAGUGAGUAAUUAAGAAUGGAUCGAAGAUGAUUUGAAGAUGGAUGAGGAAUUUUAUCCAUCAGGUUCUGUGUUUCUGACAGAAGAAUGAUGAGUCGGUUAUAGGCGACAAAUUGAAGAAGAAAGAGCCAAAAGCUUGAGAAUUAAAAAGUGAGGAGCAGCAGCCACAAAAAAUAAAAAUUGAGAGGAGCAGAUUUGAUGCAAUGGGCAAUCAAUCUACUUAUCUAUAUGAUGAGGAAAAAGAGCUGGAAAAGCAUAAACAACUUUCUAGUAGCUAAUGUUAAGAGAGAAAUACCUUUUUUUCCCCCAUUGUUGCAGCAGUGAGAUGGGAUCUGAUGUUCUUUGUGAACGGAACCUUCCCAGCUAAAAUGAUUGAAUAGGACGGGAGUCAGUGACCCGAGUUGGCAUAUAAAUUGAGCAGNNNNNNNNNNNNNNNNNNNNNNNNNNNNNNNNNNNNNNNNNNNNNNNNNNNNNNNNNNNNNNNNNNNNNNNNNNNNNNNNNNNNNNNNNNNNNNNNNNNNNNNNNNNNNNNNNNNNNNNNNNNNNNNNNNNNNNNNNNNNNNNNNNNNNNNNNNNNNNNNNNNNNNNNNNNNNNNNNNNNNNNNNNNNNNNNNNNNNNNNNNNNNNNNNNNNNNNNNNNNNNNNNNNNNNNNNNNNNNNNNNNNNNNNNNNNNNNNNNNNNNNNNNNNNNNNNNNNNNNNNNNNNNNNNNNNNNNNNNNNNNNNNNNNNNNNNNNNNNNNNNNNNNNNNNNNNNNNNUUUUUUUUUUUGGUCAAGAAAAAAAAAAGGGAACCAUUUAGCAAUGUUGACAUAUGCAUGGAGGUGAAACUUUCAAAAACCGCGGGCUCCAGAUAUUGACGAUUGCACGUUUCUUACACCCAGGGUCUUCGAUCUAUUACAUCUUCAUCAUGGAAAAUUAAAUUAUUAUGUUACGUACAUACAUGGAUAUGUGAUGUGGGAGUGGUUCUAAAAAUAACUAUUUAGUUGAAUAUUUUUUUAUUAAUAGUUUAUUACAUAUAUUUUUCAAUUAAUUUUUUAUCUCAACCGUUUAGUUUUUAAUAGAUCAUUUUUUUAAAUUUUCAACCAAAUUUUUGAUCGUUAAGGAAUCGAACUUAAUCAAAUCAAUUGACGAUCCUUAUCUAUUAAAUAUGAGUCGUUCAAGUUUAUAAUCGGUAAAUCACAUUUAUGAAUAUCUCAACGAUUUUAAAUUUAGAUAAAAAUUUAUAGAGAUGAUAUUUUCAUAUAUAUUUACAAAUUAGGCGGUCGAGAUGUGAACAUGUGAUUGAAAACGGAGUGAAACAAAGAAAUUUUCAAUUAGUCUUCAACUUAGUGGUCCUCGUUAGAACCACUCUCAUGUGAUACAAACAUACUUUAUUACGAGGCAAAAUUUUCCUAUCACACCAUCACCACCCUACUAGCACAUGUUCUUUUUUUCUUAGUUGUAUGUAUCAUAUACCUAUAACCUAUCUUCAUAGUAGAUAAUCCCCUUCAUCAUACAUACACGUGUUGUGUUUACACAGCUAUAUUCAAAAACUUAAUUUUAAGAUUAACCUCAUCGUCAUUCUAAUUUAAAAAUAAUAUUAUGAAAUAGCAUGUGAUCGACCUUUGGCUCUUUACUGAUGAUUGUAUUUGUGUGACUGUCUCCUCAAUUUGAUUCUUCGUCCCAUAAAAAUAAUAUAUAAGCGUAAUUAGUCUUUGUACGUAGUAUCAUCGAUCUUAUACGUACAUGGCCAUGCAUUUAUCCGUUGUAAUAUCACUGGUUAUUUGUUGAUGAGCAGACUAUAUGAUAGGUAGCUAUGUAGCAAAUUACUCAAUUCCGAGCACAAAAAUACAGCAAUCAAUUGUUUGUCUUGAUCGGUAGUCUCACUCAAUCACAUACGUAAGUGACCGGAUCACUCAUGCAUGACUCAGCUAGACCUAGAGCUGGAGGGUGGUGUCUUCAUAAGAAGUUGAAAUCUGUGAACACAGCCAUCGAAUAAAUUCAACAAAGUCCUCAGUAGUGGGCAUCGGACAACAACCUUACGCAACUUAGGCUCCAUCGAUCUCAUCAUAUAUGCUUUACAAAUAUUUCUUCUGCCGACAAUUUCACACAUUUUACAAGCCCAUAUGCCAGUCUUCUUAAAUAUAACCAAGAUAUGCCUUCCACUUAGCCCAAUGCAAUGGACCUAAUAUUAAGCCCACGCUAUAUAUGCACAAUCCGGGCCUCCCAUCUAUUCUGUACGGGAAUUAUGAUCGGUACGGUGAGUUUGAGACUCUGACCAGCAUCGUCGACGAUCCAAUGACUCGAUUCAUACACCAUUCAUGUACAAAAAACGAUACGAGUCUAUAACCAAUUUUUCAUCGAGUUUAUUGAGGCUACUGUGCACUUUGAACUCUGCACGACUCAUGCAUCUUCAAUCAUGUACGUGUAGCUAACUGAACCUGAAUCAAAUUCACACUCUUUAAAAUUAGUACUAAAUGAACAUACCUGUUCUCUUCAUUACAUAUCAGUGUAGCCGAUAUCAGCACACAUAGACAAAAGGGUGUUAUAGAGAAUUACAUUCAACUCCAUUCCCUUCUCCUUCAUCUCCUUGGCAAAGAGCCCUUGCUGAUCAUCUCUCGGUAAAUUUUCUUGGCCUGCCAAGGCCUCUUAGCUCUUCCCAUAGAAUCCAACAAAGUAUUAUAAAUAACCAUGUUCGGCUUAACCCAAAUUGCCUUCAUUUCCUCGUAAACUUUCAAGCACCCAUCAUAAUUCCCUGAUUGCCCGUGAAUCUUAAUCAACGUUGCAAAUGUCACUGGAUCAAUGCGCCAUUUCUCUGUCCUAGCGCAGUCAUACAAGCUAAAAGCCUUGUCAACAUUACCGGCACGGCCAUAUGCAUCGAUCAUAGCCGAAUAGGUAACAUCAUCAGGACUACACCCGUAACUAGGCAUCUUCUCAAACCACUCCACAGCCUUAUCAGGCAGAUAACACAUCCUAGCACAGCUAAUCAUAGUCGAAAACGUAACAUUAUCAGGUGUAACACCUCUCUCAAGCAUCUCAUUAAACAGCUUCUCUGCUCUCACUAAAUCCUUACACUUUCUAAACACUUUCAAUGUCACAUUGUAGAGAACCACUUCCCUCUUAGGUUUGAACAUGUGCUGAAAGUACUUUAGAGCAAGUAACGCAUUUUCGGGGUUACCAUGGUAUUAAGAACAACGACAGCAUCUUGUUCCAAAACCCCAUCACCUAAAGUCUUUAAAAUAUCAAAAACAUCACUUUCACUUAGGCAGACAGAGUUCAAGGACUCAGCUACUUUGACUAAAGAAGUGUACCUGGAAUCGUAGGACUUGUUCCUAAGAUGAGAAGCCCUGGGGCUGCUGGGAUUGACCCAAACAUAGCUUUUGGAGGAAGACUCGGAAUUUCCAUCGGGGUUUUCAGUUUUUGGGGUUUCUUGUAAAGAAACAUGGUUUAUUUGGAGAGAAAUUGUGGAGUGAAGAGUAGGGAAGGUGAGAUUGAAGGUGUGAGUAUCAGAGGUGGUUGGCCUGAGCUUUCUAGAGGAGGAGAGAGAGUGAGAGAGAAAGAGAGACGAGGGUGUGGAGGAUACAUGAUAAGCCAUUGUUUCCCUCUUUGUUUUGCGUCUGUGACUAUCAGGACCGAAGAGAGAGAUGAGGUUUAAUGGUCUCUGGUGUGGUGAGGGUACAUGGUUCGUUAUGGUGUUUCCUGCUUCUCCACCGUUGGAUAUAUGGGAUCGGCGUAUGAUUUUAGUUUAUAUUUGUUUUUUUUUUUCGUUUUAAAUGGUGGAUCUCGCAGCCCACAAAGGGCCGCCACACGUGGACCGCCUAGCCCUGUUUUGUCUCCGCCUAGCCCAUAGAAAUUAUUUUUUCUUUUGUAUUUUCUUUUUCUUUUUUUUAAAUCAUGGACCCCGUAUUCUGUUAAGGCCCGCUACACGUGGACCGCCUAGCGCCAUAUGGUCUCAGCCUAGCCCAUAUAAAUUACUUUUCUUUUAUAUUUUUUUUCCUCUAAAAAUCUGGGAUGAAACCUUUGGCGGCCUUGUUGUUGUUGUGUAGCCGACUUCUCCGUCUCCGCCGCGUAAUUGGACGGCAACCAUAGUCAUCUGUCUAAACAUAACAUGUAUGUGCCGAAUUGAGGUUUCUGAGUCGGAAGGUUGUUAGUCAUCGAUUGCAGGUAUAUAUGGUAUAUUACUGCCGUAUGUAUAUUGAUUGAUUUGUUUAGUUUCCGAGUUGAUUGUCAUGGAUUGGGUUAAAAAAGUUGAGCAUUAUAUUAUAGCUAUUUAUAGCUAUAAACAACACAUUGCAUAUCCAUUGAUGCAUAUAUGUUAGUGAUGUUUGAAUGAAAACUGAUUCGGUGUCGGCAAGUUUAUAAUGAAAACUGAUUUGGUGUUAGCAAGUUUCAGUUGAAUAAAGUUUGAAUUGCAUUUUGUAUAUUAUAGAUUAAGUUAUUAGUAGUCGCUUAUGCGUAUUGGUUUUAUUCUUGUUUUUGGUUUAAUCAGGUUUCAUUUUCUGUAUAUGUUACUAUUGAAUUUGUUGUGCUAGCAGGUUUCUUGGUUCUACUUGCUGAUGAUGAAGUUUAGGUAGCUGAUAAUUUUGUAAGCUUGUAGGUGUUUUGCCUUGUGUCAUGGUCCGCUGCGGAGGGUGGAUGAUCCAGCAAAUGCAGCCUGCUUGGAAGUAAGUUAAUCUCAUGAAAUUAUCUCAUGUUUUUAAUCUUUGUUAGAGCUCUAUACAUUUUUUUGUUUGAGCAUACCAGUUUCUGUGUCAAGUCAAGUUUACUGCUUGGGAUUCAGAUCUUCUAUUUAGUCUCUGUUGUUUUACUUUUAUUCGUCUCUUUGUCCAAUUGUUAUAAGAUAAAAAAAUAAAAAAAGGUUAUAUAAGAUGCUAGAUUGAGAAUGUCCCAAGUUCUAAAACACCACAUAAUGUUUCGUUUUGUACAAAAGGACCUGAAACACUGAAGGAAGAUGGUACGUAACUUAUUGUUCCUGGAAUCCAUAACUUUACAUCAACAACUUAUUGUUCCUGUAACAACUUAUUCUUCUUCUUGUACCUCUAUAAUGGAUGGCUGGCACCGUGGCGUAGCUAGCUAGGGGUCAAACGGUUCAAUUGAACCCUCUCAGAUUUUGAAAAAGCUUAAUUAGCUAGCCUUAAUGAACAAACAUAAAUUGAC
Molecule: long non-coding RNA, 12973 nt
Filed under: Fragaria vesca (wild strawberry)
Lineage: Eukaryota; Viridiplantae; Streptophyta; Magnoliopsida; Rosales; Rosaceae
Description: long non-coding RNA (FVES_LNC001113)
Source: RNAcentral